Molecule: ribosomal RNA, 478 nt
Filed under: uncultured bacterium
Lineage: Bacteria
Description: partial 16S ribosomal RNA
Rfam family: Bacterial small subunit ribosomal RNA
Source: RNAcentral
GAUGAACGCUGGCGGCGUGCUUAACACAUGCAAGUCGAACGAGAAGUGGAGACGGAAACCUUCGGGCGGAAGACUUUACUUCGAGUGGCGGACGGGUGAGUAACGCGUGGGUAACCUGCCUCAUACAGGGGGAUAACAGUUGGAAACGACUGUUAAUACCGCAUAAGACCACAGCACCGCAUGGUGCGGGGGUAAAAACUCCGGUGGUAUGAGAUGGACCCGCGUUCGAUUAGCCAGUUGGCGGGGUAACGGCCCACCAAAGCGACGAUCGAUAGCCGAUCUGAGAGGAUGACCGGCAACAUUGGGACUGAGACACGGCCCAAACUCCUACGGGAGGCAGCAGUGGGGAAUAUUGCACAAUGGGGGAAACCCUGAUGCAGCGACGCCGCGUGAGUGAAGAAGUAUUUCGGUAUGUAAAGCUCUAUCAGCAGGGAAGAAAAUGACAGUACCUGAGUAAGAAGCCCCGGCUAACUACGUG